Molecule: transfer RNA, 75 nt
Filed under: Propioniciclava tarda
Lineage: Bacteria; Bacillati; Actinomycetota; Actinomycetes; Propionibacteriales; Propionibacteriaceae
Description: tRNA-Arg
Rfam family: tRNA
About the family: Transfer RNA (tRNA) molecules are approximately 80 nucleotides in length. Their secondary structure includes four short double-helical elements and three loops (D, anti-codon, and T loops).
Source: RNAcentral
GCCCCCAUAGCUCAGGGGAUAGAGCACCGCCCUCCGGAGGCGGGAGCGCAGGUUCGAAUCCUGCUGGGGGCGCCG